UACGGGGGGAGCAAGCGUUGUUCGGAUUUACUGGGCGUAAAGGGCGCGUAGGCGGCCACCGCAAGUCGAUUGUGAAAUCUCCGGGCUUAACCCGGAAAGGUCAACCGAUACUGCGGGGCUAGAGUGCAGAAGGGGCAACUGGAAUUCUCGGUGUAGCGGUGAAAUGCGUAGAUAUCGAGAGGAACACCUGCGGCGAAGGCGGGUAGCUGGGCCGACACUGACGCUGAGGCGCGAAAGCCAGGGGAGCGAACGGG
Molecule: ribosomal RNA, 254 nt
Filed under: uncultured bacterium
Lineage: Bacteria
Description: partial 16S ribosomal RNA
Rfam family: Bacterial small subunit ribosomal RNA
Source: RNAcentral